AUUUAUGUAGAUUAUUUAAAAUCAUUAUAUUUUCAAUAUAAAAUAAAUUUUUAUUAUAAGAGUUUGUAAAUA
RNAcentral lists this transfer RNA (72 nucleotides) under Monomachus antipodalis. RNAcentral describes it as "tRNA-Glu". Lineage: Eukaryota; Metazoa; Arthropoda; Insecta; Hymenoptera; Monomachidae. The record is from RNAcentral.